CCUACGGGUGGCAGCAGUGAGGAAUAUUGGGCAAUGGAGGCAACUCUGACCCAGCCAUGCCGCGUGAGUGAAGAAGGUUUUCGGAUUGUAAAGCUCUUUCGGAUGUGACGAUGAUGACGGUAGCAUCUAAAGAAGCCCCGGCUAACUUCGUGCCAGCAGCCGCGGUAAUACGAAGGGGGCAAGCGUUGUUCGGAAUUACUGGGCGUAAAGGGAGUGUAGGCGGUUUAGUAAGAUAGUGGUGAAAUCCCAGGGCUUAACUUUGGAAUUGCCAUUAUAACUAUUAGACUAGAAUUACAGAGAGGAUAGUGGAAUACCCAGUGUAGAGGUGAAAUUCGUAGAUAUUGGGUAGAACACCAGUGGCGAAGGCAGCCUACUAAACUGCCACUGACAUUGAUGCUCGAAAGUGUGGGUAUCAAACAGGAUUAGAUACCCGAGUAGUC
This 440-nucleotide ribosomal RNA is filed under the name uncultured bacterium. Its description in RNAcentral is "partial 16S ribosomal RNA". It matches the Rfam family "Bacterial small subunit ribosomal RNA", at positions 338 to 795 of the family's 1533-position model. The record is from RNAcentral.